This 446-nucleotide ribosomal RNA is filed under the name uncultured bacterium. RNAcentral describes it as "partial 16S ribosomal RNA". It matches the Rfam family "Bacterial small subunit ribosomal RNA", at positions 338 to 795 of the family's 1533-position model. The record is from RNAcentral.
CCUACGGGUGGCAGCAGUCGAGAAUCAUUCACAAUGGGGGAAACCCUGAUGGUGCGACGCCGCGUGGGGGAAUGAAGGUCUUCGGAUUGUAAACCCCUGUCAUGUGGGAGCAAAUUAAAAAGAUAGUACCACAAGAGGAAGAGACGGCUAACUCUGUGCCAGCAGCCGCGGUAAUCCAGAGGUCUCAGGCGUUGUUCGGAAUCCCUGGGCGUAACGCGUGCGUAGGCUGUUUCGUAAGUCGUGUGUGAAAGGCGCGGGCUAAACCCGCGGACUGAACAGGAUACUGCGAGACUAGAGUAAUGGAGGGGGAACCGGAAUUCUCGGUGUAGCAGUGAGAUGCGUAGAUAUCGAGAGGAACACUCGUGGCGAAGGCGGGUUCCUGGACAUUAACUGACGCUGAGGCACGAAGGCCAGGGGAGCGAAAGGGAUUAGAUACCCUAGUAGUC